GACGUAGGGUGCGAGCGUUGUCCGGAUUUAUUGGGCGUAAAGAGCUCGUAGGCGGCUCGUCGCGUCGACCGUGAAAACCCGCGGCUUAACUGCGGGCUUGCGGUUGAUACGGGCGGGCUAGAGUUCGGAAGAGGCGAGUGGAAUUCCCGGUGUAGCGGUGAAAUGCGCAGAUAUCGGGAGGAACACCUAUGGCGAAGGCAGCUCGCUGGGACGUUACUGACGCUGAGACGCGAAAGCGUGGGGAGCAAACAGG
This 253-nucleotide ribosomal RNA is filed under the name uncultured bacterium. RNAcentral describes it as "partial 16S ribosomal RNA". It matches the Rfam family "Bacterial small subunit ribosomal RNA", at positions 524 to 776 of the family's 1533-position model. The record is from RNAcentral.